This 264-nucleotide ribosomal RNA is filed under the name Escherichia coli. Its description in RNAcentral is "partial 16S ribosomal RNA". It matches the Rfam family "Bacterial small subunit ribosomal RNA", at positions 1 to 261 of the family's 1533-position model. RNAcentral also lists the same sequence under 1 other name. The record is from RNAcentral. Lineage: Bacteria; Pseudomonadati; Pseudomonadota; Gammaproteobacteria; Enterobacterales; Enterobacteriaceae.
AAAUUGAAGAGUUUGAUCAUGGCUCAGAUUGAACGCUGGCGGCAGGCCUAACACAUGCAAGUCGAACGGUAACAGGAAGCAGCUUGCUGUUUCGCUGACGAGUGGCGGACGGGUGAGUAAUGUCUGGGAAACUGCCUGAUGGAGGGGGAUAACUACUGGAAACGGUAGCUAAUACCGCAUAACGUCGCAAGACCAAAGAGGGGGACCUUCGGGCCUCUUGCCAUCGGAUGUGCCCAGAUGGGAUUAGCUAGUAGGUGGGGUAAC